UACGGAGGGUGCAAGCGUUAUCCGGAAUCACUGGGUUUAAAGGGUGCGUAGGCGGCUUGAUAAGUCAGAGGUGAAAGCCCGCAGCUUAACUGCGGAACGGCCUUUGAUACUGUUGAGCUUGAAACAGGACGAGGUUGGCGGAAUGUGGCAUGUAGCGGUGAAAUGCAUAGAUAUGCCAUAGAACACCGAUUGCGAAGGCAGCUGGCUAGACCUGAUUUGACGCUGAGGCACGAAAGCGUGGGGAGCGAACAGG
RNAcentral lists this ribosomal RNA (253 nucleotides) under uncultured bacterium. Its description in RNAcentral is "partial 16S ribosomal RNA". It matches the Rfam family "Bacterial small subunit ribosomal RNA", at positions 524 to 776 of the family's 1533-position model. The record is from RNAcentral.